UGAAUACGAGAUGCUACGGCGUCGAAGCAGUCUAGGUCAUACUUCCAAGAAAAGCUUGCACUGUCAUAAACAAAUAAUGCCUGUACCAUAACCGACACAGGUGGGUAGGUAGAGUAUACUAAGGGGCGCGAAAUAACUCUCUCUAAGGAACUCGGCAAAAUGACUCCGUAACUUCGGGAGAAGGAGUGCCUUAUUUAUAAGGUUGCAAUAACAAGAUCCAAGCAACUGUUUACCAAAAACACAGGUCUCCGCUAAGUCGUAAGACGAUGUAUGGGGGCUGACGCCUGCCCAGAGCCAGAAGGUUAAAGAAGUUGGUUAGCAUCCGCGAAGCUGAUAACUGAAGCCCUGGUGAACGGCGGCCGUAACUAUAACGGUCCUAAGGUAGCGAAAUUCCUUGUCGGGUAAGUUCCGACCCGCACGAAAGGCGUAAUGAUUUGGAUACUGUCUCGGAGAGGGGCUCGGUGAAAUAGACUUGUCUGUGAAGAUGCGGACUACCUGCACCAGGACAGAAAGACCCUAUGAAGCUUUACUGUAACCUGAAAUUGAAAUUGGACUUUACUUGCGCAGUAUAGGUGGGAGGCGUUGAGAAUAUUCUUGCGGGAUUAUUGGAGCCAUCAGUGAGAUACCACUCUUGUAAUGUUAGAUUUCUAACUUUGUAUCAUUAUCUGGUCAAAGAACAGUUUCAGGCGGGCAGUUUGACUGGGGCGGUCGCCUCCUAAACGGUAACGGAGGCGCACAAAGGUUUCCUCUGAACGGGUAGAAAUCGUAUCUAGAGUGUAAAGGCAUAAGGAAGCUUGACUGUGAGACCUACAAGUCGAGCAGGGACGAAAGUCGGUCUUAGUGAUCUGACGGUGCUGAGUGGAAAGGCCGUCACUCAACGGAUAAAAGUUACUCUAGGAUAACAGGCUGAUCUCCCCCAAGAGUUCACAUCGACGGGGAGGUUUGGCACCUCGAUGUCGGCUCAUCGCAUCCUGGGGCGGUAGUACGUCCCAAGGGUUGGGCUGUUCGCCCAUAAAAGCGGUACGCGAGCUGGGUUCAGAACGUCGUGAGACAGUUCGGUCCAUAUCCGGUGUAGGCGUUAGAAUAUUGAGAGGAGCCUUCUUUAGUACGAGAGGACCGAGAAGGACAUACCACUGGUGUACCAGUUAUCGUGCCAACGGUAAACGCUGGGUAGCUAUGUGUGGAGUGGAUAACCGCUGAAAGCAUCUAAGUGGGAAGCCCACCUCAAGAUAAG
RNAcentral lists this ribosomal RNA (1234 nucleotides) under metagenome. RNAcentral describes it as "bacterial LSU rRNA". It matches the Rfam family "Bacterial large subunit ribosomal RNA", at positions 1564 to 2808 of the family's 2925-position model. The record is from RNAcentral.